UGUUGAAAUUUUCAUCCAUUUUUAUUAUUAAAAACUGGUUUAGCUGACGAAAUAACUAGACAGUUACAUGUGGCGUGCCACGUAUACCUCAUGUUAACAUUCAAAAACCAGUUUUUAAAAGUAAAAAUGAAUGAAAUUUUUAACA
Molecule: non-coding RNA, 145 nt
Organism: Gossypium raimondii (Peruvian cotton)
Lineage: Eukaryota; Viridiplantae; Streptophyta; Magnoliopsida; Malvales; Malvaceae
Source: Rfam